Gadus macrocephalus (Pacific cod) is the source of this 2108-nucleotide long non-coding RNA. RefSeq lists it as uncharacterized. The record is from RefSeq and is a predicted model, not a curated record. The transcript is spliced from 2 exons. Lineage: Eukaryota; Metazoa; Chordata; Actinopteri; Gadiformes; Gadidae.
CAUACACACCCAAACCCUCACCCAUACACACACACACACACACACACACACACAUACACAUUCACACUUUCACUUGCACACACUCACGGACACACGGGCAGUGUGCGCAAGAUCAUUACUCCUUGUUUCACAUCACUUAUAACAAAUUUAAAUAAAGGAUUUCGCAAAAAAAAUGUAAAGCUCUCUCCAGGUGGUUAUUGCCUUUUUUCUAAAAAAAGAGUAAAUGCUUUAAAUGGGAGACUGAAAACUAUUUUUGAAAAUCGAUUCUGACGUAGAGAACAUUUAACCUAAGUGACUGAUGCAGUUGGCGUCAGACCUGAUAUUCCCUUAACGCUCAUAAACAUGGCUUGCUGCCACAAACGGUACAUGCGGACGUUGUGAACCAUUGCCCUUUCUCGUGGACUUACCGGGAAAAUUACACCUCUGCCGGUUAAUGCAGCAACUUGGUUGGUUUUCAAACUACACAAGUCCUCCCACAAUACACCGCUCCUCCAAACCCUGCACUGGCUACCAGUGGCCUCACUGACACUUACCUGGAUGCUCAGGCCCUUCAUACUUCCAGGACUUGGUCAGACCACAGACCCCAGCCCGCCCAUCCACUACACUCACUAAGAGAGGGGCCCCAGCUACCGCUCUUCAAACUUCAGAUCUUCUGCUGUCCUGGCUGCUCCACCGUGGUGGAACGAGCUCCCCGAUGACAUCAGGACAGCAAAACCCUCACACCUUCCACUGCUGGCUGAACACCCAUCUGUUCAGACUGCAUCCUGGCCCAUGAAAAAGGCCUGAAGAUACUCCUGUCAGGGAGAUGAAAGGAGGGAUGAUGGAUGGUGAGACGGACAGGAGGAAUUGCAGGGAGAUGGAGAGAGGAGUGGAGAGGAGGAGAAACGCAGUGGAGAGGAGAGGAGGCGUACACUGGAGAGCAGAAGCAAAUGAGUUUAUAGGAGGAAUAGAUAGACGAGGCGGAGGGGAGGAGAAGAGAGGGCCAUUUGUGGAGAGGAGAAGUGGAGAGGAGCAGCAGAGAGAGGGGAGGAGUGAAGCAGUAGAGAGAUGCAGAGGAAUGUAGGAGUAGAGAUAAGUGGAGUAGAGAAGCAGAGGAGACAAUGGCGUAUUGAAACGUUAGCAGCAGCCAGGGCUUAGUGUCCCCAACCGACAGCUGGGCCCCAGGCAGGGGCCCUCAAGGGCCCUGAGACACCAUUAGUCCCUUACGUACCGUCUUUUGUACGAAGAAAAGAAAAGGUCCCUCCUCAUCCUCUUGAAUGGCAGUCAAGCGGCGGAUCCUACCGCUAACACGUUUAUUUAUCUAACUUUACUUCAUCAAUCAUAAUACAGUUUACAGGCCGAACAAAGCAGGCCGGCAGGCCGGCAGGCCUUCCUGCCAACAGCCACGCGCUAGUGCGGUCGGGUUGAUGGCAUUCAUUUCUGACAUCCAUGUGCGUUAGGCCCUGGUUAGAACUGGCCCACAUGCACCGAACAAAUAUGGCCCAUAUGUCCGCUAAUACACACACACGCACACAUACGCACACACGCCGCUGGUGCAAUCCUGGGCAGAUUAGUCGUUGUUGUUCUUAUGUAAACUGGAUCAAGGGAAGGCAGCAGCAAAUCAUCCCAGCUCGCCUGCACAGACAAUAGUCAUGCUUGUCCCGUGUGUGUGUUUGGGUGCUUGCGCGCUUCUUUGUGGGUGCGUUUGAUUGUGCCUACAUGUGUGUGUGCACGCAGUUACUGUCUUCAAAAUAAUGUGUGUGUGUGUGUGUGUGUGUUUAUGGGAUUAGAAGGCCUGCAUGAUUGGGGCUGUUGUAAGCAUACUACUGAGUGUACUGUUGUUGAAUGAUGUUUGUUAACACAUUGUUUUACCGGUCAGUCAGUUUACUGUUUAACCGUAGCAUUUAAUUUAACCUUGUAAAUAAACUGUUGUUAGCCUACUGUUUCACCUUAUUGUUAGUUUAAGGUUUUACCUUACUUUUAGCUCACAAUUCUGUGAGCGUGCUUACUGGUAAACCUCAGUGUAGCCUCCUGAUUUAGAACACUGCUGUGUGCGGAAAGUUACAAAUAUGAUGUUUGACACACCCUUCUCAGGGACUGCUCAGUAACAGAUUCAACAAAUUCUUGUU